GGAGAGGUGGCUGAGUGGUUGAUAGCUCCGGUCUUGAAAACCGGUAUAGUUUUGAUAACUAUCGAGGGUUCGAAUCCCUCUCUCUCCU
This 88-nucleotide transfer RNA is filed under the name Xanthorrhoea preissii. RNAcentral's name for it is "tRNA-Ser". It matches the Rfam family "tRNA". From Rfam's summary of the family: Transfer RNA (tRNA) molecules are approximately 80 nucleotides in length. Their secondary structure includes four short double-helical elements and three loops (D, anti-codon, and T loops). Further hydrogen bonds mediate the characteristic L-shaped molecular structure. tRNAs have two regions of fundamental functional importance: the anti-codon, which is responsible for specific mRNA codon recognition, and the 3' end, to which the tRNAs corresponding amino acid is attached (by aminoacyl-tRNA synthetases). tRNAs cope with the degeneracy of the genetic code in two manners: having more than one tRNA (with a specific anti-codon) for a particular amino acid; and 'wobble' base-pairing, i.e. permitting non-standard base-pairing at the 3rd anti-codon position. Lineage: Eukaryota; Viridiplantae; Streptophyta; Magnoliopsida; Asparagales; Asphodelaceae. The record is from RNAcentral.